AGAGUUUGAUCUGGCUCAGGACGAACGCUGGCGGCGUGCUUAACACAUGCAAGUCGAACGAUGAAGCCCUUCGGGGUGGAUUAGUGGCGAACGGGUGAGUAACACGUGGGCAAUCUGCCCUUCACUCUGGGACAAGCCCUGGAAACGGGGCCUAAUACCGGAUAACACUUCCAUUCGCAUGGGUGGAGGUUAAAAGCUCCGGCGGUGAAGGAUGAGCCCGCGGCCUAUCAGCUUGUUGGUGAGGUAAUGGCUCACCAAGGCGACGACGGGUAGCCGGCCUGAGAGGGCGACCGGCCACACUGGGACUGAGACACGGCCCAGACUCCUACGGGAGGCAGCAGUGGGGAAUAUUGCACAAUGGGCGAAAGCCUGAUGCAGCGACGCCGCGUGAGGGAUGACGGCCUUCGGGUUGUAAACCUCUUUCAGCAGGGAAGAAGCGAAAGUGACGGUACCUGCAGAAGAAGCGCCGGCUAACUACGUGCCAGCAGCCGCGGUA
RNAcentral lists this ribosomal RNA (496 nucleotides) under uncultured Actinomycetes bacterium. RNAcentral describes it as "bacterial SSU rRNA". It matches the Rfam family "Bacterial small subunit ribosomal RNA", at positions 8 to 522 of the family's 1533-position model. Lineage: Bacteria; Bacillati; Actinomycetota; Actinomycetes. The record is from RNAcentral.